UUCGGUCUGGUGGCGAGUGGCGAACGGGUGAGUAAUAUAUCGGAACGUAUCCAAUAAUGGGGGAUAGCUAAUCGAAAGGUUGGCUAAUACCGCAUACGCCCUACAGGGGAAAGCUAGGGACCUUCGGGCCUGGCGUUAAUGGAGCGGCCGAUAUCUGAUUAGCUAGUUGGUGAGGUAAAGGCUCACCAAGGCGACGAAUCAGUAGCUGGUCUGAGAGGACGACCAGCCACACUGGAACUGAGACACGGUCCAGACUCCUACGGGAGGCAGCAGUGGGGAAUUUUGGACAAUGGGCGCAAGCCUGAUCCAGCCAUUCCGCGUGAGUGAAGAAGGCCUUCGGGUUGUAAAGCUCUUUCGCAAGGGAAGAAAGAUUACUCUCUAACAUAGAGUGAUUAUGACGGUACCUUGAUAAGAAGCACCGGCUAACUACGUGCCAGCAGCCGCGGUAAUACGUAGGGUGCGAGCGUUAAUCGGAAUUACUGGGCGUAAAGCGUGCGCAGGCGGUUUUGUAAGUCAGAUGUGAAAUCCCCGAGCUCAACUUGGGAACUGCGUUUGAAACUACAAGACUAGAAUAUGUCAGAAGGGGGUAGAAUUCCACGUGUAGCAGUGAAAUGCGUGGAGAUGUGGAGGAAUACCAAUGGCGAAGGCAGCCCCCUGGGAUAAUAUUGACGCUCAUGCACG
Molecule: ribosomal RNA, 681 nt
Filed under: uncultured bacterium
Lineage: Bacteria
Description: bacterial SSU rRNA
Rfam family: Bacterial small subunit ribosomal RNA
Source: RNAcentral